RNAcentral lists this ribosomal RNA (467 nucleotides) under uncultured bacterium. RNAcentral describes it as "partial 16S ribosomal RNA". It matches the Rfam family "Bacterial small subunit ribosomal RNA", at positions 28 to 506 of the family's 1533-position model. The record is from RNAcentral.
GACGAACGCUGGCGGCGUGCUUAACACAUGCAAGUCGAACGGAAAGGCCCUGCUUUUGUGGGGUGCUCGAGUGGCGAACGGGUGAGUAACACGUGAGUAACCUGCCCUUGACUUUGGGAUAACUUCAGGAAACUGGGGCUAAUACCGGAUAGGAGCUCCUGCUGCAUGGUGGGGGUUGGAAAGUUUCGGCGGUUGGGGAUGGACUCGCGGCUUAUCAGCUUGUUGGUGGGGUAGUGGCUUACCAAGGCUUUGACGGGUAGCCGGCCUGAGAGGGUGACCGGCCACAUUGGGACUGAGAUACGGCCCAGACUCCUACGGGAGGCAGCAGCGGGGAAUAUUGCACAAUGGGCGGAAGCCUGAUGCAGCAACGCCGCGUGCGGGAUGACGGCCUUCGGGUUGUAAACCGCUUUCGCCUGUGACGAAGCGUGAGUGACGGUAAUGGGUAAAGAAGCACCGGCUAACUACGU